Molecule: non-coding RNA, 46 nt
Organism: Schistosoma haematobium
Lineage: Eukaryota; Metazoa; Platyhelminthes; Trematoda; Strigeidida; Schistosomatidae
Source: Rfam
GCAGUACUGAGGAGUCCCACAAUAGGACGAAACGGUCGUCCAGUGC